UCUAACUGAAUAUCUUCUUGCUUCAAGUUUUGCUUUAAAAGUAUCAUCAUCACUUACAUUGAGCAGUUAGUGAAAAUCACUACAAUUUCUUUCACUUUAGAGGCAAAUAAAUCUUUUUUUUUCCAAACAUGAUAACUUAUUAUCACAUAUGUAGGUGUUCUUGACUUAAUGAACCUUAUGAUGACAUAUGUACAACUUUAAAAAGAUAAAAGCUUCUUGCUUCCAUUUAACGUCAACGUUAUUCAAGAAGAUUUCUCAAAGCUCUUUUGUAACUUACGCGGUGUUGAUUUACAGAACUACACAUACAAACAACUGACAAUUCUAUCCAGAGAUGUGAAAUGAUAACGCUCAUAAUAUGAGGAAAGGGAACAGAAUAUAACAUUCAGAACAGAACAGAACCAUGUCCAGAAAUGAGACUGUGUUUUGAAGAGUACUGUCCCUUAAUUAUUAAGCCAAAUUGUUUCCCUUUAUACCAUCUUAACGCGAGUAUCGAUUUUUGUGGGCAGCGAAGCGUGACCACAGAUUUACCAUACCACAAAUUUACAGUCAAAAUGCUUAUCCGAAACCGAAGAACAAGUAGUUCUAUGUCCUCCAUAAAUUUUACGUAAUUCAAGUCAGUUUAACUUUCAGAAAGCUUCUGAGAUUCAACUUUAUCAAAAAAUGAACUGCUUAAGUACCAAUUUGCCGUAAUCUAUAUUUUAUAACAAAAACGCGUAUGAAAAUGAGCAUGCUUGCUUUGAUCACAUGACCAAAACAAUUCUUCGUCACGUGACCAAAAUAAACUAUAAAUAACCUACGAAAAUAUAGUAUAGUAGGCUACUUCAGCACCAUCCGCGUACAUCUAUAAUCGGUAUUAAAACCAAGUGAUAUUUUUGUAAAUCCCUGAAAUGGGAUUGAAAAUACUGCAUUGCUUUAUAAUACAGAUGCUGUAUAAUAAGCACUUUAAAUUGGAAUUCAAUUAAAUUUUGAUAAAUGCAAGUUGUUGUCAAGCAUUAUCUAUAAGAAAUGAUGGACUGUUUUGAUCAGUGUUGAUUCACUCUAUUUUGAUGAGGAUUUUUAUAUUUCUCAUAAACCGUUCUUGUUUCUAAGGCUCUCAGAUUUUCUACCUAGUGUAUGAAAAGUACAGUACUGCUGUUGGAAGAGGAGCAAACAGUGUGGUAUCUAUGGUCCACCAUCACUUCAAGCAUCAUGGCUAUAGAUAAAAGAAGGUUUCAUUACAUAUGGACAAUUAUAUUGGACAAAAUAAGAAAAGUGUUCUAAUAAGUUCUGGAAUGUGGCUUGUUAUGAUGGGUCUACAUGAUUGACUUGGAGUACAACCUGAUGGAGGCCUGGCUUGCAGAAUUCAGUCCUGAACAUGUUUAGAAUGUCUUCUGCAUGACCUGAUAUAGUAUUCUUGAAGGAUUAUAACUUCAACACAGAGACAGAGAUUAAUAUUUUAGGUAGGGGAUUGGCAUGACAAAUUCUUCAGCCGUAUUACCAUUCCCGAGCUGGAUGCCAGUCGACAGUGGUACCUGUAUAAUGAAAUAGCGCCCCUUUGCAGCAACAGCAAUGUAUGCUCAAAACUAGUAGUGCCAAAGCCAUUAAAAUUGAAAACUCAGUCAUUUAAAACGAAGAAGGAAUGGAAAAAAGUGUAUAACAUUUAAAGUAAUACAGAAAAAGAACUUAGCUCAUUUGGUACUUUCUGAAAUUUUACUUAAUUUGAAAGUGUUUUUGAUUUUUUAAAGGUGUACUGGACCAAAAUUCCAUAUAUAUGAAUAUGAACAAAUGCUGCAUAUAGGUAUGUAAACAAUUGAAUUAACAAGUUUAUGGUGUCAGCAGUAGUAUGCAUUGGUUAAAUAUAGACACACUGUAUGUAUGUAAGGCUGAAUACAGUAUAAAUGUGAAAUUCCUCUAAAACACUGGAAGAUUUUUUCAACGAUUUACUGUUUAGUACUGCAUGACAUAAAAUUAUGAAUGUAGCUCUACAUACACAGUUGAUUUAUACAUUAAGCAAAGUUAAAUAUAUUUAUUGAUGAUUUUCUACAUUUGAAGUAAUUACCUAAAUAUUAAAUAUUUUAGUGAAGAUAUAUUUUAUGCAACUAUGUAAGUUGAAAAAAGCUACCCUCCAGGAAGAAUAUUUUGAAAUGAUACUUUUACUUGAAAAUUUUUGUGAAAAAUGAGGAAAUAGAUGUUAAAAUGAAUUCUUUAUUUUAUAAAAAAUGUUGUUGCCAUGGAAACAGAACUUUAGUAUUAAGUUUAUCUGCUUUCAUACCAGAGUAAUAUGAAUUUUAAUUAUGAUUAUUUAAACAAUUUAAUGUUACAUAAUCAUAACUGAUUCUUUUAAUUAUCAAUUUACACUGUCAUCUUAAGUACAUUUGAAGUUGAAUGACACAUUACAAAUAUUAAAUAUUUAUGGAAUUGCUUUUAGAUACAUUUUGUGUAUUUCUGAGAUGAAUAUAAAUCAGAAAAAUCACAAAUUCUAGUUCUUCUAGACAACUAAUAUACAUUUUAUAAAUUUACAUUUUUUUGUAUCAAAUGUAGGCUAAAAUGUCUGUUAAAUUGACAUUUAAAGCCAUUCUUGUAUUUUGUUGCUAUGGAAACAUGAAUUGUGUCAAUUUUUUUAAUAUAAAAUAGCAUAUUUAUAGCAAGAAGGCAUUAUCAACUGUGCUAAU
Mercenaria mercenaria is the source of this 2651-nucleotide long non-coding RNA. RefSeq lists it as uncharacterized. Lineage: Eukaryota; Metazoa; Mollusca; Bivalvia; Venerida; Veneridae. The record is from RefSeq and is a predicted model, not a curated record. The transcript is spliced from 3 exons.